AUUGAACGCUGGCGGCAGGCCUAACACAUGCAAGUCGAGCGGAUGAAGGGAGCUUGCUCCUGGAUUCAGCGGCGGACGGGUGAGUAAUGCCUAGGAAUCUGCCUGGUAGUGGGGGAUAACGUCCGGAAACGGGCGCUAAUACCGCAUACGUCCUGAGGGAGAAAGUGGGGGAUCUUCGGACCUCACGCUAUCAGAUGAGCCUAGGUCGGAUUAGCUAGUUGGUGGGGUAAAGGCCUACCAAGGCGACGAUCCGUAACUGGUCUGAGAGGAUGAUCAGUCAAACUGGAACUGAGACACGGUCCAGACUCCUACGGGAGGCAGCAGUGGGGAAUAUUGGACAAUGGGCGAAAGGCUGAUCCAGCCAUGCCGCGUGUGUGAAGAAGGUCUUCGGAUUGUAAAGCACUUUAAGUUGGGAGGAAGGGCAGUAAGUUAAUACCUUGCUGUUUUGACGUUACCAACAGAAUAAGCACCGGCUAACUUCGUG
This 484-nucleotide ribosomal RNA is filed under the name uncultured bacterium. Its description in RNAcentral is "partial 16S ribosomal RNA". It matches the Rfam family "Bacterial small subunit ribosomal RNA", at positions 30 to 507 of the family's 1533-position model. The record is from RNAcentral.